CUCAGCUGGCAGCCUGUGUGGGGUGACCGCCCCGCUAGCGGGGUGCGGGUCCAGGUGCCCCCGGACUGGGAGAGAAGGAGCCUCCCGCGGCCGCUAGGGAUGGGGGCUGCCCUGUAAGGCAGGGAGCGACAGUGCCCCGCAGUCCCAGGCCCUUUGCAAUGGAGGCAGUGGCCGGGGGUCCCCUGUAAGCAGGGAAGCUGACUCUUUGGCCGCUGCUGUGUGUGUGCCCAGCUGCAUUUGCCCAGCCUGCCCGCCUCUGUGAUCCCCCGCAGCACCGGCUGGAAGCGCGCCGUGCGUCAGUGAGGAGCCGCUGCGGAAGAGAGAAGGAGAAGCGGCGUGGGAACGCGGGAGGCAGGAGCGAGCGCGCAAGCAAGCAAGCAAGCAAGCAAGAAGAGGAUGCGGAAGCGUGCAGACGCGGGGGGGAAGGAGAGAGGCUCCCUGGGCAAAGCACCCGUCCCGUUAGCGGGGCGGCAGUCACAUUUAGUCCCAUUUGAGUUUGAGCGUUGCCGGCGCCUUGGCCGGCUUUGUGCUGGGCGACCUCCCUGUAAGCAGGGCUCGGGUCUUUGCUUUUGCUGUAGUUGGCCUUUUGCCUUGCUGCUCCUUUGGCUGCCUGGGGAGCGUGGGCCCCUGUAACGCAGGGCGAGAGCCACCUCUCCGCACCUGAGUGGGAAACGGAGCUCGCCGGACCCCGAGGCCACCCUGUAAGCAGGGUAGUGCCGUUUCCCCGCCCCUCUUCCU
Lagopus muta (rock ptarmigan) is the source of this 738-nucleotide long non-coding RNA. RefSeq lists it as uncharacterized. NCBI's taxonomy places the organism in Eukaryota, Metazoa, Chordata, Aves, Galliformes, Phasianidae. The record is from RefSeq and is a predicted model, not a curated record. The transcript has 3 exons.